Gorilla gorilla gorilla (western lowland gorilla) is the source of this 107-nucleotide small nuclear RNA. The record is from Ensembl. NCBI's taxonomy places the organism in Eukaryota, Metazoa, Chordata, Mammalia, Primates, Hominidae.
GUGCUCAUUUCAGCAGCACAUAUAUUCAAAUUGGAAUGAUACAGAGAAAAUUAGCACGGUUCCUGCACACGGAUGACAUGCAAAAUCAUGAAGCAUUUUGUUUUCAA